GACGAACGCUGGCGGCGUGCUUAACACAUGCAAGUCGAACGGUAAGGCCCUUCGGGGUACACGAGUGGCGAACGGGCGAGUAACACGUGGGUGAUCUGCCCUGCACUUUGGGAUAAGCCUGGGAAACUGGGUCUAAUACCGGAUAGGACCAUGGCAUGCGUGUGCUGUGGUGGAAAGCUUUUGCGGUGUGGGAUGGGCCCGCGGCCUAUCAGCUUGUUGGUGGGGUGAUGGCCUACCAAGGCGACGACGGGUAGCCGGCCUGAGAGGGUGUCCGGCCACACUGGGACUGAGAUACGGCCCAGACUCCUACGGGAGGCAGCAGUGGGGAAUAUUGCACAAUGGGCGCAAGCCUGAUGCAGCGACGCCGCGUGGGGGAUGACGGCCUUCGGGUUGUAAACCUCUUUCAAUAGGGACGAAGCGCAAGUGACGGUACCUAUAGAAGAAGCACCGGCCAACUACGUGCCAGCCGCCGCCGUAA
This 478-nucleotide ribosomal RNA is filed under the name uncultured bacterium. RNAcentral's name for it is "partial 16S ribosomal RNA". It matches the Rfam family "Bacterial small subunit ribosomal RNA", at positions 28 to 523 of the family's 1533-position model. The record is from RNAcentral.